RNAcentral lists this transfer RNA (70 nucleotides) under Strelitzia reginae (bird-of-paradise). RNAcentral describes it as "tRNA-Cys". It matches the Rfam family "tRNA". Rfam says of the family: Transfer RNA (tRNA) molecules are approximately 80 nucleotides in length. Their secondary structure includes four short double-helical elements and three loops (D, anti-codon, and T loops). The record is from RNAcentral. Lineage: Eukaryota; Viridiplantae; Streptophyta; Magnoliopsida; Zingiberales; Strelitziaceae.
GGCGUGGCCAAGCGGUAAGGCAGCGGGUUUUGGGCCCGUUACUCGUAGGUUCGAAUCCUUCCGCCCCAAA